RNAcentral lists this ribosomal RNA (497 nucleotides) under uncultured bacterium. RNAcentral describes it as "partial 16S ribosomal RNA". It matches the Rfam family "Bacterial small subunit ribosomal RNA", at positions 28 to 507 of the family's 1533-position model. The record is from RNAcentral.
GAUGAACGCUGGCGGCGUGCCUAAUACAUGCAAGUCGAGCGAACAGACGAGGAGCUUGCUCCUCUGACGUUAGCGGCGGACGGGUGAGUAACACGUGGAUAACCUACCUAUAAGACUGGGAUAACUUCGGGAAACCGGAGCUAAUACCGGAUAAUAUAUUGAACCGCAUGGUUCAAUAGUGAAAGACGGUUUUGCUGUCACUUAUAGAUGGAUCCGCGCCGCAUUAGCUAGUUGGUAAGGUAACGGCUUUCCAAGGCAACGAUGCGUAGCCGACCUGAGAGGGUGAUCGGCCACACUGGAACUGAGACACGGUCCAGACUCCUACGGGAGGCAGCAGUAGGGAAUCUUCCGCAAAGGGCGAAAGCCUGACGGAGCAACGCCGCGUGAGUGAUGAAGGUCUUCGGAUCGUAAAACUCUGUUAUUAGGGAAGAACAAAUGUGUAAGUAACUAUGCACGUCUUGACGGUACCUAAUCAGAAAGCCACGGCUAACUACGUG